RNAcentral lists this ribosomal RNA (919 nucleotides) under Brachybacterium sp. 602S-5. Its description in RNAcentral is "bacterial SSU rRNA". It matches the Rfam family "Bacterial small subunit ribosomal RNA", at positions 58 to 987 of the family's 1533-position model. The record is from RNAcentral. Lineage: Bacteria; Bacillati; Actinomycetota; Actinomycetes; Micrococcales; Dermabacteraceae.
CAAGUCGAACGAUGACGACCGUGCUUGCACGGUCUGAUUAGUGGCGAACGGGUGAGUAACACGUGAGUAACCUGCCCCCCACUCUGGGAUAACCUCGGGAAAUCGGGGCUAAUACCGGAUAUGAGCUCCUACCGCAUGGUGGGUGCUGGAAAGUUUUUCGGUGGGGGAUGGACUCGCGGCCUAUCAGUUUGUUGGUGAGGUAAUGGCUCACCAAGGCGAUGACGGGUAGCCGGCCUGAGAGGGCGACCGGCCACACUGGGACUGAGACACGGCCCAGACUCCUACGGGAGGCAGCAGUGGGGAAUAUUGCACAAUGGGCGAAAGCCUGAUGCAGCGACGCCGCGUGGGGGAUGACGGCCUUCGGGUUGUAAACCUCUUUCAGUAGGGAAGAAGCGAAAGUGACGGUACCUGCAGAAGAAGCGCCGGCUAACUACGUGCCAGCAGCCGCGGUAAUACGUAGGGCGCAAGCGUUGUCCGGAAUUAUUGGGCGUAAAGAGCUUGUAGGUGGCUUGUCGCGUCUGCCGUGAAAACCCGAGGCUCAACCUCGGGCGUGCGGUGGGUACGGGCAGGCUAGAGUGUGGUAGGGGAGACUGGAACUCCUGGUGUAGCGGUGAAAUGCGCAGAUAUCAGGAAGAACACCGAUGGCGAAGGCAGGUCUCUGGGCCAUUACUGACACUGAGAAGCGAAAGCAUGGGGAGCGAACAGGAUUAGAUACCCUGGUAGUCCAUGCCGUAAACGUUGGGCACUAGGUGUGGGGAACAUUCCACGUUUUCCGCGCCGUAGCUAACGCAUUAAGUGCCCCGCCUGGGGAGUACGGCCGCAAGGCUAAAACUCAAAGGAAUUGACGGGGGCCCGCACAAGCGGCGGAGCAUGCGGAUUAAUUCGAUGCAACGCGAAGAACCUUACCAAGGCUUGACAU